Molecule: ribosomal RNA, 468 nt
Filed under: uncultured bacterium
Lineage: Bacteria
Description: partial 16S ribosomal RNA
Rfam family: Bacterial small subunit ribosomal RNA
Source: RNAcentral
GACGAACGCUGGCGGCGUGCUUAACACAUGCAAGUCGAACGGAAAGGCCCUGCUUUUGUGGGGUGCUCGAGUGGCGAACGGGUGAGUAACACGUGAGUAACCUGCCCUUGACUUUGGGAUAACUUCAGGAAACUGGGGCUAAUACCGGAUAGGAGCUCCUGCUGCAUGGUGGGGGUUGGAAAGUUUCGGCGGUUGGGGGUGGACUCGCGGCUUAUCAGCUUGUUGGUGGGGUAGUGGAUUACCAAGGCUUUGACGGGUAGCCGGGCUGAGAGGGUGACCGGCCACAUUGGGACUGAGAUACGGCACAGACUCCUACGGGAGGCAACAGUGGAGAAUAUUGCACAAUGGGCGGAAGCCUGAUGCAGCAACGCCGCGUGCGGGAUGACGGCCUUCGGGUUGUAAACCGCUUUCGCCUGUGACGAAGCGUGAGUGACGGUAAUGGGUAAAGAAGCACCGGCUAACUACGUG